RNAcentral lists this ribosomal RNA (410 nucleotides) under uncultured microorganism. Its description in RNAcentral is "bacterial SSU rRNA". It matches the Rfam family "Bacterial small subunit ribosomal RNA", at positions 509 to 917 of the family's 1533-position model. The record is from RNAcentral.
CAGCAGCCGCGGUAAUACGUAGGGGGCGAGCGUUGUCCGGAAUUAUUGGGCGUAAAGCGCGCGCAGGCGGUCCUUUAAGUCUGAUGUGAAAGCCCACGGCUCAACCGUGGAGGGUCAUUGGAAACUGGGGGACUUGAGUGCAGGAGAGGAGAGCGGAAUUCCACGUGUAGCGGUGAAAUGCGUAGAGAUGUGGAGGAACACCAGUGGCGAAGGCGGCUCCCUGGCCUGUAACUGACGCUGAGGCGCGAAAGCGUGGGGAGCAAACAGGAUUAGAUACCCUGGUAGUCCACGCCGUAAACGAUGAGUGCUAAGUGUUAGAGGGGUCACACCCUUUAGUGCUGCAGCUAACGCGAUAAGCACUCCGCCUGGGGAGUACGGCCGCAAGGCUGAAACUUAAAGGAAUUGGCGGG